Molecule: ribosomal RNA, 425 nt
Filed under: Bifidobacterium sp.
Lineage: Bacteria; Bacillati; Actinomycetota; Actinomycetes; Bifidobacteriales; Bifidobacteriaceae
Description: bacterial SSU rRNA
Rfam family: Bacterial small subunit ribosomal RNA
Source: RNAcentral
UGUUGCCAGCACGUCGUGGUGGGAACUCACGGGGGACCGCCGGGGUCAACUCGGAGGAAGGUGGGGAUGACGUCAGAUCAUCAUGCCCCUUACGUCCAGGGCUUCACGCAUGCUACAAUGGCCGGUACAACGGGAUGCGACGCGGCGACGCGGAGCGGAUCCCUGAAAACCGGUCUCAGUUCGGAUCGCAGUCUGCAACUCGACUGCGUGAAGGCGGAGUCGCUAGUAAUCGCGAAUCAGCAACGUCGCGGUGAAUGCGUUCCCGGGCCUUGUACACACCGCCCGUCAAGUCAUGAAAGUGGGCAGCACCCGAAGCCGGUGGCCUAACCCCUUGUGGGAUGGAGCCGUCUAAGGUGAGGCUCGUGAUUGGGACUAAGUCGUAACAAGGUAGCCGUACCGGAAGGUGCGGCUGGAUCACCUCCUUU